UGAGAUGGUUGACCAGAGAGCACACGCUUUAUUUAUGACGUUUGUGACCUGGUCCACUAACCCU
This is a microRNA precursor of Loxodonta africana (African savanna elephant), 64 nucleotides long. The record is from Rfam. Lineage: Eukaryota; Metazoa; Chordata; Mammalia; Proboscidea; Elephantidae.